AUUGAACGCUGGCGGCAUGCCUUACACAUGCAAGUCGAACGGUAACAGGCCGCAAGGUGCUGACGAGUGGCGAACGGGUGAGUAAUGCAUCGGAACGUGCCCAGUCGUGGGGGAUAACGCAGCGAAAGCUGUGCUAAUACCGCAUACGAUCUAUGGAUGAAAGCGGGGGACCGUAAGGCCUCGCGCGAUUGGAGCGGCCGAUGUCAGAUUAGGUAGUUGGUGGGGUAAAGGCUCACCAAGCCAACGAUCUUUAGCUGGUCUGAGAGGACGACCAGCCACACGGGGACAGAGACACGGCCCAGACUCCUACGGGAGGCAGCAGUGGGGAAUUUUGGACAAUGGGCGCAAGCCUGAUCCAGCAAUGCCGCGUGCAGGAAGAAGGCCUUCGGGUUGUAAACUGCUUUUGUACGGAACGAAAAGGUUUGGGUUAAUACCCUGGGCCGAUGACGGUACCGUAAGAAUAAGCACCGGCUAACUACGUGCCAGCAGCCGCCGUAA
Molecule: ribosomal RNA, 498 nt
Filed under: uncultured bacterium
Lineage: Bacteria
Description: partial 16S ribosomal RNA
Rfam family: Bacterial small subunit ribosomal RNA
Source: RNAcentral